AGUUUGAUCCUGGCUCAGGACGAACGCUGGCGGCGUGCUUAACACAUGCAAGUCGAACGCUGAAGCACUGUGCUUGCACGGUGUGGAUGAGUGGCGAACGGGUGAGUAACACGUGAGUAACCUGCCCCUGACUUCGGGAUAAGCUUGGGAAACUGGGUCUAAUACCGGAUGUGACUACUGGCCGCAUGGUCUGGUGGUGGAAAGGGUUUUACUGGUUGGGGAUGGACUCGCGGCCUAUCAGUGUUGUUGGUGGGGUAGUGGCCUACCAAGACGACGACGGGUAGCCGGCCUGAGAGGGCGACCGGCCACACUGGGACUGAGACACGGCCCAGACUCCUACGGGAGGCAGCAGUGGGGAAUAUUGCACAAUGGGGGGAACCCUGAUGCAGCGACGCCGCGUGCGGGAUGACGGCCUUCGGUUGUAAACCGCUUUCAGUAGGGAAGAAGCGAAAGUGACGGUACCUGCAGAAGAAGUACCGGCUAACUACGUGCCAGCAGCCGCGGUAAUACGUAGGGUACAAGCGUUGUCCGGAAAUAUUGGCGUAAAGAGCUCGUAGGUGGUUGGUCGCGUCUGCUGUGGAAACG
This 585-nucleotide ribosomal RNA is filed under the name Oerskovia sp. B19. RNAcentral's name for it is "bacterial SSU rRNA". It matches the Rfam family "Bacterial small subunit ribosomal RNA", at positions 10 to 602 of the family's 1533-position model. The record is from RNAcentral. Lineage: Bacteria; Bacillati; Actinomycetota; Actinomycetes; Micrococcales; Cellulomonadaceae. RNAcentral also lists the same sequence under 1 other name.